Molecule: non-coding RNA, 414 nt
Organism: Jatropha curcas
Lineage: Eukaryota; Viridiplantae; Streptophyta; Magnoliopsida; Malpighiales; Euphorbiaceae
Source: RefSeq, a predicted model, not a curated record
UUCGCAAGGGGCACUUGCUAGGCUUUAAAAGAUCACAGCGAUAGUUCACAAAACCCAACUGGGUGGGAUUGGUGCCAUGCUUUGAAGGACAAUUUCAGCAACGACUUAGUGCUUUUGCUUUUCGAAUGAGAUCAACAAUGACCAAAUGCUAGUUCAAAGAAUCGUCAAUCGUGUUUCAGAGAUAUUAAGUCAUAUGCCAUCAAAUGCUAGUUACCAUCAUGGCAAGUUAGUUGGAAUUGAUUCGCGUGUCGAGGAAGUAAUAUCGUUAUUGGAUAUUGAUGUAAAUGACAGAAAUUGGAUAAUAGGAAUUUGGGGAAUGGCUGGAAUUGGAAAGACAACUAUUGCCGGUAUUGUGUUUUCCCAAAUCAAGGCUAAAUUUGAUGCCUACUGCUUUGUUUUAAAUGUCAAGGAACA